AUACGGAGGGUGCAAGCGUUAAUCGGAAUUACUGGGCGUAAAGCGCGCGUAGGCGGCUUGGUCAGUCGGAUGUGAAAGCCCCGGGCUUAACCUGGGAAUUGCACUCGAUACUGCCAAGCUAGAGUAUGGGAGAGGGAAGUGGAAUUUCCGGUGUAGCGGUGAAAUGCGUAGAUAUCGGAAGGAACACCAGUGGCGAAGGCGACUUCCUGGCCCAAUACUGACGCUCAGGUGCGAAAGCGUGGGUAGCGAACAGGAUUAGAAACCCCGGUAGUCC
This 274-nucleotide ribosomal RNA is filed under the name uncultured bacterium. RNAcentral describes it as "partial 16S ribosomal RNA". It matches the Rfam family "Bacterial small subunit ribosomal RNA", at positions 523 to 796 of the family's 1533-position model. The record is from RNAcentral.